AGCCUUGAGGUGUCCUUACAUAUCAGAUUGCAAACCUGAAGAAGAAGAUUAAAAGUCUUCCGGGGCUU
Molecule: transfer RNA, 68 nt
Filed under: Pseudanthias pascalus (amethyst anthias)
Lineage: Eukaryota; Metazoa; Chordata; Actinopteri; Perciformes; Anthiadidae
Also listed under: 1 other name
Description: tRNA-Cys
Source: RNAcentral